UUAAGUAAGGAAGGGCGUACGGCGAAUGCCUUGCCACUCGAAACUGAAGAAGGACGCGCCAAACUGCGAAAAGCUCCGUGAAGCUGUAAGGAAGCGAAGAAGCGGAGGUGUCCGAAUGGGGGAACCCGGCAGCAGACAUGAGCUGUCAUCUGCAGGUGAAUACAUGGCCUGCAAGAGAGGUACCCGGCGAACUGAAACAUCUAAGUAGCCGGAGGAAAAGAAAACAACAGUGAUUCCCUGAGUAGCGGCGAGCGAAAGGGGAGAAGCCCAAACCGGUUGAAGGACCGGGGUUGAAGGACCAUGACAUGGCAAGAACGAGGAUAGGAGAACGGGAUCGAAAGCCCGGCCGAAGAAGGUGAAAGCCCUGUAACCGAAAUCCGAGUAAAGCCUAAUGGGAUCCUGAGUACGGCGAGACACGAGAAAUCUUGUCGGAAGCAGGCGGGACCAUCCGCCAAGGCUAAAUAUAAACGAGUGAGCGAUAGUGAACCAGUACCGUGAGGGAAAGGUGAAAAGAACCGCGGGAGCGGAGUGAAAGAGAACCUGAAACCGUAUGCCUACAAGAAGUCAGAGCCCGUUAAGGGGUGAUGGCGUGCCUUUUGUAGAAUGAACCGGCGAGUUGCGACAGACUGCGAGGUUAAGGAGGAAAGACCGGAGCCGAAGCGAAAGCGAGUCUUAAGAGGGCGAAAGUAGGAUGUUGCAGACCCGAAACCGGGUGAUCUAGCCAUGAGCAGGUUGAAGUUGAGGUGAAACUCAAUGGAGGACCGAACCGACUACCGUUGAAAAGUUAGCGGAUGACUUGUGGCUAGGGGAGAAAUUCCAAUCGAACCCGGAGAUAGCUGGUUCUCCCCGAAAUAGCUUUAGGGCUAGCGUCGGAAAGAACCUUAGUGAAGGUAGAGCACUGAAUGUGUGAUGGCCCCAUCCCGGGGUACUGAAUACAAUCAAACUGCGAAUGUCAUUAAGGAUGUCCGGCAGUCAGACUGUGAGUGAUAAGGUCCAUGGUCAAGAGGGAAACAGCCCAGACCGCCAGUUAAGGUCCCAAAAUACAGGCUAAGUGGAAAAGGAUGUGGGGAUGCCCAGACAACUAGGAGGUUGGCUCAGAAGCAGCCAUCCUUUAAAGAGUGCGUAACAGCUCACUAGUCGAGUGACCCUGCGCCGAAAAUGUACCGGGGCUAAGCCUGAUACCGAAACUGCGGAUUGUAGGAAACUAUAGUGGUAGGGGAGCGUUGUAUACGAGCAGAAGCCGUACCGUGAGGAGCGGUGGAUUGUAUAGAAGUGAGAAUGCCGGUGUGAGUAGCGAGAUGUAGGUGAGAAUCCUACACACCGAAAGCCCAAGGAUUCCAGGGGAAGGUUCGUCCGCCCUGGGUAAGUCGGGACCUAACGCGAGGCCGAAAGGCGUAGUGGAUGGAAAGCAGGCGAAAGAUUCCUGCACCCGUAUAUGGAGCGAAGGAGUGACGGAGACGGAUAGUGUGACCCUCUUAAUGGAUUGAGGGCGAAGCGAAGCGGCUGGUUACCAGGCAAAUCCGGUAACCAUAAGGCUAGAGCGUGACAGGUAAGCGAAAUCUUAGGAAAGUAGCGAAGCACAUGAUGACGGCUUCCAGGAAAAGCUUCUGGCAAUGCAUAUGCGGCCCGUACCAAAACCGACACAGGUGGGCAGGGAGAGAAUCCCGAGGUGAGCGAGAGAACUGUUGCCAAGGAACUCGGCAAAAUGACUCCGUAAGUUAGCGAGAAGGAGUGCUUAAGCAAUUAAGCCGCAGUGAAGAGGCCCAAGCGACUGUUUAACUAAAACACAGCUCUCUGCGAAGUCGCAAGACGAAGUAUAGGGGGUGACACCUGCCCGGUGCUGGAAGGUUAAGAGGAUCUGUUAAGAGCGAUCUGAAGCAGUGAUCCGAAGCCCCAGUGAACGGCGGCCGUAACUAUAACGGUCCUAAGGUAGCGAAAUUCCUUGUCAGGUAAGUUCUGACCCGCACGAAAGGUGUAACGAUUUGGGCGCUGUCUCGGCAGCAGACUCGGUGAAAUCUUAGUACCUGUGAAAAUGCAGGUUACCCGCAACUAGACGGAAAGACCCCAUGGAGCUUUACUGCAGCCUGAUAUUGAAUUCUGGUCAUACAUGUACAGGAUAGGUGGGAGACAAAGAGACGUGCACGCCAGUGUACGAGGAGUCGACGUUGGGAUACCACUCUUGUGUGACCGGGGUUCUAACCUGGUAUCGAGAACAGGUACGGGGAGAGUGUCAGGUGGGCAGUUUGACUGGGGCGGUCGCCUCCCAAAGAGUAACGGAGGCGCCCAAAGGUUCCCUCAGAAUGGUUGGAAAUCAUUCGAAGAGUGUAAAGGCAGAAGGGAGCUUGACUGCGAGACCUACAAGUCGAGCAGGGACGAAAGUCGGGCUUAGUGAUCCGGCGGUGCCGAAUGGAAGGGCCGUCGCUCAACGGAUAAAAGCUACCCUGGGGAUAACAGGCUGAUCUCCCCCAAGAGUCCACAUCGACGGGGAGGUUUGGCACCUCGAUGUCGGCUCAUCACAUCCUGGGGCUGUAGUAGGUCCCAAGGGUUGGGCUGUUCGCCCAUUAAAGCGGUACGCGAGCUGGGUUCAGAACGUCGUGAGACAGUUCGGUCCCUAUCUGUUGUGGGCGAAGGAGAUCUGCGGAGAGCUGUCCUCAGUACGAGAGGACCGGGAUGGACCUACCGCUGGUGCACCGGUUGUUCCGCCAGGGGCAUAGCCGGGUAGCUAAGUAGGGAAAGGAUAAGCGCUGAAAGCAUCUAAGCACGAAGCCUACUCCAAGAUGAGAUCUCCCAUUCGCAAGAAGUAAGACCCCUUAAAGACGAUAAGGUAGAUAGGCCAGGGAUGGAAGUGCAGUGAUGUACGGAGUUGACUGGUACUAAUCGGUCGAGGACUUAAUCAG
This 2897-nucleotide ribosomal RNA is filed under the name human gut metagenome. RNAcentral describes it as "bacterial LSU rRNA". It matches the Rfam family "Bacterial large subunit ribosomal RNA". The record is from RNAcentral.